AAAACACUAGCGAACGCUGGCGGCAGGCUUAACACAUGCAAGUCGAACGGGCGUAGCAAUACGUCAGUGGCAGACGGGUGAGUAACGCGUGGGAACGUACCUUUUGGUUCGGAACAACACAGGGAAACUUGUGCUAAUACCGAAUAAGCCCUUACGGGGAAAGAUUUAUCGCCGAAAGAUCGGCCCGCGUCUGAUUAGCUUGUUGGUGAGGUAACGGCUCACCAAGGCGACGAUCAGUAGCUGGUCUGAGAGGAUGAUCAGCCACAUUGGGACUGAGACACGGCCCAA
Molecule: ribosomal RNA, 288 nt
Filed under: uncultured bacterium
Lineage: Bacteria
Description: partial 16S ribosomal RNA
Rfam family: Bacterial small subunit ribosomal RNA
Source: RNAcentral